RNAcentral lists this ribosomal RNA (794 nucleotides) under uncultured bacterium. RNAcentral's name for it is "bacterial SSU rRNA". It matches the Rfam family "Bacterial small subunit ribosomal RNA", at positions 8 to 796 of the family's 1533-position model. The record is from RNAcentral.
AGAGUUUGAUCAUGGCUCAGAUUGAACGCUGGCGGCAUGCCUUACACAUGCAAGUCGAACGGCAGCACGGGGGCAACCCUGGUGGCGAGUGGCGAACGGGUGAGUAAUACAUCGGAACGUGUCCUGGAGUGGGGGAUAGCCCGGCGAAAGCCGGAUUAAUACCGCAUACGACCUACGGGUGAAAGCAGGGGAUCGCAAGACCUUGCGUUAUUGGAGCGGCCGAUGUCAGAUUAGCUAGUUGGCGGGGUAAGAGCCCACCAAGGCGACGAUCUGUAGCUGGUCUGAGAGGACGACCAGCCACACUGGGACUGAGACACGGCCCAGACUCCUACGGGAGGCAGCAGUGGGGAAUUUUGGACAAUGGGCGCAAGCCUGAUCCAGCCAUGCCGCGUGUGGGAAGAAGGCCUUCGGGUUGUAAACCACUUUUGUCAGGGAAGAAACGGCUCUUACUAAUAUUAGGAGAUAAUGACGGUACCUGAAGAAUAAGCACCGGCUAACUACGUGCCAGCAGCCGCGGUAAUACGUAGGGUGCGAGCGUUAAUCGGAAUUACUGGGCGUAAAGCGUGCGCAGGCGGUUAUGCAAGACAGAUGUGAAAUCCCCGGGCUCAACCUGGGAACUGCAUUUUGUGACUGCAUGGCUGGAGUGCGGCAGAGGGGGAUGGAAUUCCGCGUGUAGCAGUGAAAUGCGUAGAUAUGCGGAGGAACACCGAUGGCGAAGGCAAUCCCCUGGGCCUGCACUGACGCUCAUGCACGAAAGCGUGGGGAGCAAACAGGAUUAGAUACCCUAGUAGUCC